AGAGUUUGAUCCUGGCUCAGGACGAACGCUGGCGGCGUGCUUAACACAUGCAAGUCGAACGGAGUGCCUCGGAAAGAGAUUUCGGUCAAUGGAAGAGGUUACUUAGUGGCGGACGGGUGAGUAACGCGUGAGGAACCUGCCUUUCAGAGGGGGACAACAGCUGGAAACGGCUGCUAAUACCGCAUAACAUAUAGGUAUCGCAUGGUGCCUAUAUCAAAGAUUUAUCGCUGAAAGAUGGCCUCGCGUCUGAUUAGCUAGUUGGUAGGGUAACGGCCUACCAAGGCGACGAUCAGUAGCCGGACUGAGAGGUUGGCCGGCCACAUUGGGACUGAGAUACGGCCCAGACUCCUACGGGAGGCAGCAGUGGGGAAUAUUGGGCAAUGGGCGCAAGCCUGACCCAGCAACGCCGCGUGAAGGAAGAAGGCUUUCGGGUUGUAAACUUCUUUUAAGAGGGAAGAGUAGAAGACGGUACCUCUUGAAUAAGCCACGGCUAACUACGUG
This 501-nucleotide ribosomal RNA is filed under the name uncultured Oscillibacter sp. RNAcentral describes it as "bacterial SSU rRNA". It matches the Rfam family "Bacterial small subunit ribosomal RNA", at positions 8 to 507 of the family's 1533-position model. Lineage: Bacteria; Bacillati; Bacillota; Clostridia; Eubacteriales; Oscillospiraceae. The record is from RNAcentral.